RNAcentral lists this transfer RNA (75 nucleotides) under Bacteroidota bacterium. RNAcentral's name for it is "Bacteroidetes bacterium (hot springs metagenome) tRNA-Met". It matches the Rfam family "tRNA". From Rfam's summary of the family: Transfer RNA (tRNA) molecules are approximately 80 nucleotides in length. Their secondary structure includes four short double-helical elements and three loops (D, anti-codon, and T loops). Lineage: Bacteria; Pseudomonadati; Bacteroidota. The record is from RNAcentral.
UUAGGGGUGGUGUAAUUGGUAACAUGGUGGGCUCAUGACCCGCUGUUGUAGGUUCGAGUCCUGCCCCCUUUUCCU